AUUGAACGCUGGCGGCAUGCCUUACACAUGCAAGUCGAACGGUAACAGGUUAAGCUGACGAGUGGCGAACGGGUGAGUAAUGUAUCGGAACGUGCCCAGUCGUGGGGGAUAACUGCUCGAAAGAGCAGCUAAUACCGCAUACGACCUGAGGGUGAAAGCGGGGGAUCGCAAGACCUCGCGCGAUUGGAGCGGCCGAUAUCAGAUUAGGUAGUUGGUGAGGUAAAUGCUCACCAAGCCGACGAUCUGUAGCUGGUCUGAGAGGACGACCAGCCACACUGGGACUGAGACACGGCCCAGACUCCUACGGGAGGCAGCAGUGGGGAAUUUUGGACAAUGGGCGCAAGCCUGAUCCAGCCAUGCCGCGUGCGGGAAGAAGGCCUUCGGGUUGUAAACCGCUUUUGUCAGGGAAGAAAAGGUUCUGGCUAAUACCUGGGACUCAUGACGGUACCUGAAGAAUAAGCACCGGCUAACUACGUG
Molecule: ribosomal RNA, 477 nt
Filed under: uncultured bacterium
Lineage: Bacteria
Description: partial 16S ribosomal RNA
Rfam family: Bacterial small subunit ribosomal RNA
Source: RNAcentral